AGUAAAAUGGCUGAAGUUUAGGCAAUAAAUUGUAAAUUUAUUUAUGAAUUAGAAUUCUUUUACUA
Molecule: transfer RNA, 65 nt
Filed under: Phrixothrix hirtus
Lineage: Eukaryota; Metazoa; Arthropoda; Insecta; Coleoptera; Phengodidae
Description: tRNA-Tyr
Rfam family: tRNA
About the family: Transfer RNA (tRNA) molecules are approximately 80 nucleotides in length. Their secondary structure includes four short double-helical elements and three loops (D, anti-codon, and T loops).
Source: RNAcentral